RNAcentral lists this ribosomal RNA (581 nucleotides) under uncultured archaeon. RNAcentral describes it as "bacterial SSU rRNA". It matches the Rfam family "Archaeal small subunit ribosomal RNA", at positions 122 to 712 of the family's 1478-position model. The record is from RNAcentral.
GAGCAUACUCCCGGGAAACUGGGGCUAAUCCUCCAUAGUGGAUUAUCCUGGAAUGGUAUAUCCUCGAAAGAUCCGUCGCCUUAGGAUGGACUGCGUCCGAUUAGGUUGUUGGCGGGUAACGGCCCACCAAGCCAUUGAUCGGUACGGGUUGUGGGAGCAAGAUCCCGGAGAUGGAUUCUGAGACAUGAAUCCAGGCCUACGGGGCGCAGCAGGCGCGCAAACUUUACAAUGCGAGCAAUCGUGAUAAGGAAACCCUGAGUGCCUGUCGAUGCAGGCUGUUCAUAUAUCUAAAUCAUAUGUGAAGAAAGGGCAGGGCAAGACCGGUGCCAGCCGCCGCGGUAAUACCGGCUGCUCGAGUGAUGGCCACUAUUACUGGGUUUAAAGCGUCCGUAGCUUGACUGUUAGGUCUCUUGGGAAAUCUUCGCGCUCAACGUGAAGGCGUCUAAGAGAUACCGGCAGUCUUGGAACUGGGAGAGGUAAACCGUACUUCGGGGGUAGGAGUGAAAUCUUGUAAUCCUCGAGGGACGACCUAUGGCGAAGGCAGUUUACCAGAACAGCUUCGACAGUGAGGGACGAAAGCU